UACAGAGGUCCCAAGCGUUGUUCGGAUUCAUUGGGCGUAAAGGGUGCGUAGGUGGCGCCGUAAGUCAGGUGUGAAAUUUCGGAGCUUAACUCCGAAACUGCAUUUGAUACUGCGGUGCUUGAGGACUGGAGAGGAGACUGGAAUUUACGGUGUAGCAGUGAAAUGCGUAGAUAUCUGGAGGAACACCGGUGGCGAAGGCGGCAUUCUGGACCGACAUUGACGCUGAGGAGCGAAAGCCAGGGGAGCAAACAGG
Molecule: ribosomal RNA, 253 nt
Filed under: uncultured bacterium
Lineage: Bacteria
Description: partial 16S ribosomal RNA
Rfam family: Bacterial small subunit ribosomal RNA
Source: RNAcentral